CAGUGCGGUUUUAGGUGCGAUUU
This 23-nucleotide small nuclear RNA is filed under the name Arabidopsis thaliana (thale cress). RNAcentral describes it as "snRNA_09230". Lineage: Eukaryota; Viridiplantae; Streptophyta; Magnoliopsida; Brassicales; Brassicaceae. The record is from RNAcentral.